This 396-nucleotide ribosomal RNA is filed under the name uncultured bacterium. RNAcentral's name for it is "partial 16S ribosomal RNA". It matches the Rfam family "Bacterial small subunit ribosomal RNA", at positions 523 to 918 of the family's 1533-position model. The record is from RNAcentral.
AUACGUAGGUGGCAAGCGUUGUCCGGAAUUAUUGGGCGUAAAGCGCAUGUAGGCGGUAAUUUAAGUCUGUCGUGAAACUGCGGGGCUCAGCCCCGUAUGGCGAUGGAAACUGGAUUACUUGAGUGCAGGAGAGGAAAGGGGAACUCCCAGUGUAGCGGUGAAAUGCGUAGAUAUUGGGAAGAACACCGGUGGCGAAGGCGCCUUUCUGGACUGUGUCUGACGCUGAGAUGCGAAAGCCAGGGUAGCGAACGGGAUUAGAUACCCCGGUAGUCCUGGCCGUAAACGAUGGGUACUAGGUGUGGGAGGUAUCGACCCCUUCCGUGCCGGAGUUAACGCAAUAAGUACCCCGCCUGGGGAGUACGGCCGCAAGGCUUAAACUCAAAUGAAUUGACGGGG